GGGUGAGCGGCGGACGGGUGAGUAACGCGUGGGAAUAUGCCCUUCUCUAAGGAAUAGCCUCUGGAAACGGAGAGUAAUACCUUAUACGCCCUUUGGGGGAAAGAUUUAUCGGAGAAGGAUUAGCCCGCGUUAGAUUAGGUAGUUGGUGGGGUAAUGGCCUACCAAGCCUACGAUCUAUAGCUGGUUUGAGAGGAUGAUCAGCCACACUGGGACUGAGACACGGCCCAGACUCCUACGGGAGGCAGCAGUAGGGAAUCUUAGACAAUGGGGGCAACCCUGAUCUAGCCAUGCCGCGUGUGUGAUGAAGGCCCUAGGGUCGUAAAGCACUUUCGCCAGAGAUGAUAAUGACAGUAUCUGGUAAGAAACCCCGGCUAACUCCGUGCCAGCAGCCGCGGUAAUACGGAGGGGGUUAGCGUUGUUCGGAAUUACUGGGCGUAAAGCGCACGUAGGCGGAUUAGUAAGUUAGAGGUGAAAUCCCAGGGCUCAACCCUGGAACUGCCUUUAAUACUGCUAGUCUUGAGUUCGAGAGAGGUAAGUGGAAUUCUGAGUGUAGAGGUGAAAUUCGUAGAUAUUCGGAGGAACACCAGUGGCGAAGGCGGCUUACUGGCUCGAUACUGACGCUGAGGUGCGAAAGUGUGGGGAGCAAACAGGAUUAGAUACCCUGGUAGUCCACACCGUAAACGAUGAAUGCCAGACGUCAGCAAGUAUACUUGUUGGUGUCACACCUAACGGAUAAGCAUUCCGCCUGGGA
RNAcentral lists this ribosomal RNA (751 nucleotides) under uncultured Alphaproteobacteria bacterium. RNAcentral describes it as "bacterial SSU rRNA". It matches the Rfam family "Bacterial small subunit ribosomal RNA", at positions 89 to 878 of the family's 1533-position model. Lineage: Bacteria; Pseudomonadati; Pseudomonadota; Alphaproteobacteria. The record is from RNAcentral.